Molecule: transfer RNA, 99 nt
Filed under: Felis catus (domestic cat)
Lineage: Eukaryota; Metazoa; Chordata; Mammalia; Carnivora; Felidae
Rfam family: tRNA
About the family: Transfer RNA (tRNA) molecules are approximately 80 nucleotides in length. Their secondary structure includes four short double-helical elements and three loops (D, anti-codon, and T loops).
Source: Rfam by way of RNAcentral
GCCUGGGUGGCUCAGGCGGUUGAGCGUCCGACUUUGGCUCGGGUCAUGAUCUCACGGUCAUGAUCUCACGGUUCGUGGGUUCGAGCCCUGCGCCAGGCU